Callithrix jacchus (white-tufted-ear marmoset) is the source of this 108-nucleotide small nuclear RNA. NCBI's taxonomy places the organism in Eukaryota, Metazoa, Chordata, Mammalia, Primates, Cebidae. The record is from Ensembl.
GAAAAAAAAAAUGGUGCUCAUAUACUAAAAGUUAGAACAAUACAGAGAAGAUUAGCAUGGCCCCUGUGUAAGGAUGACAUGCAAAUUUUUGAAGUGUCCCAUAUUUAU